Molecule: ribosomal RNA, 468 nt
Filed under: uncultured bacterium
Lineage: Bacteria
Description: partial 16S ribosomal RNA
Rfam family: Bacterial small subunit ribosomal RNA
Source: RNAcentral
GACGAACGCUGGCGGCGUGCUUAACACAUGCAAGUCGAACGGAAAGGCCCUGCUUUUGUGGGGUGCUCGAGUGGCGAACGGGUGAGUAACACGUGAGUAACCUGCCCUUGACUUUGGGAUAACUUCAGGAAACUGGGGCUAAUACCGGAUAGGAGCUCCUGCUGCAUGGUGGGGGUUGGAAAGUUUCGGCGGCUGGGGAUGGACUCGCGGCUUAUCAGCUUGUUGGUGGGGUAGCGGCUUACCAAGGCUUUGACGGGUAGCCGGCCUGAGAGGGUGACCGGCCACAUUGGGACUGAGAUACGGCCCAGACUCCUACGGGAGGCAGCAGUGGGGAAUAUUGCACAAUGGGCGGAAGCCUGAUGCAGCAACGCCGCGUGCGGGAUGACGGCCUUCGGGUUGUAAACCGCUUUCGCCUGUGACGAAGCGUGAGUGACGGUAAUAGGUAAAGAAGCACCGGCUAACUACGUG